This 210-nucleotide ribosomal RNA is filed under the name Triticum aestivum (bread wheat). RNAcentral describes it as "partial small subunit ribosomal RNA". Lineage: Eukaryota; Viridiplantae; Streptophyta; Magnoliopsida; Poales; Poaceae. The record is from RNAcentral.
AUGGCGGACUGGGCGCCGGUGUUCAUCGGGCUGGUGCUCUUCAUCCUCCUCUCGCCGGGGCUGCUCUUCCAGAUCCCCGGCAAGGGCAGGAUGGUGGAGUUCGGCAACUUCCAGACAAGCGGCAUCUCCAUCCUCGUCCACGCCGUCAUCUACUUCGCCCUCAUCGCCAUCCUCAUCCUCGCCGUCAACGUCCACGUCUUCCUCGGCUGA